CACGUAGGGCGCAAGCGUUGUCCGGAAUUAUUGGGCGUAAAGAGCUCGUAGGCGGUCCGUCACGUCCGCUGUGAAAACCCAGGGCUCAACCCUGGGCUUGCAGUGGAUACGGGCAGACUAGAGGUAGGUAGGGGAGAAUGGAAUUCCUGGUGUAGCGGUGAAAUGCGCAGAUAUCAGGAGGAACACCGGUGGCGAAGGCGGAUCUCUGGGCCAUUACUGACGCUGAGGAGCGAAAGCGUGGGGAGCGAACAGG
This 253-nucleotide ribosomal RNA is filed under the name uncultured bacterium. RNAcentral's name for it is "partial 16S ribosomal RNA". It matches the Rfam family "Bacterial small subunit ribosomal RNA", at positions 524 to 776 of the family's 1533-position model. The record is from RNAcentral.